AAAUUCUGCCCUAUGAUUAUUUAAAUGGCUGCAGUAUUUUGACUGUGCAAAGGUAGCAUAAUAAUUAGUCAUUUAAUUGUUGACUUGUAUGAAUGGAUAAAUGAGGGAUUUAUUUUUUUAACUUAAAUUUAAUAAUUUUAUUUUUUGGUAAAAAAGCUAAAAUUUUUUUUAGGGACGAUAAGACCCUAUAGAACUUUAUUAUAAUUAUUUUUAUUUAUUAUUUAGUUUAUUAUUAUUAUUAAUUUUAAUUAUUUUUUUAUUGGGGUGAUAAAUAAAUUUAACUUUAUUUUAUUAUUUCAUUAAUAUAUGAUAAGUUUUGAUCCAUAAUUUAGAUUAAAAGAUAUAGUUACCUUAGGGAUAACAGCGUAAUUUUAAUGGAAAGUUCAUAUUUAUAUUGAAGUUUGCGACCUCGAUGUUGAAUUAAGAUAAGUAUAAGGGGUAGAAUUUUUAUAACUAAGUC
Molecule: ribosomal RNA, 460 nt
Filed under: Anagonalia sp. HO 00N57
Lineage: Eukaryota; Metazoa; Arthropoda; Insecta; Hemiptera; Cicadellidae
Description: partial large subunit ribosomal RNA
Source: RNAcentral